CGGACGGGGGAGUAAUGUCUGGGAAACUGCCCGAUGGAGGGGGAUAACUACUGGAAACGGUAGCUAAUACCGCAUAACGUCGCAAGACCAAGAGGGGACCUUCGGGCCUCUUGCCAUCGGAUGUGCCCAGAUGGGAUUAGCUAGUAGGUGGGGUAACGGCUCACCUAGGCGACGAUCCCUAGCUGGUCUGAGAGGAUGACCAGCCACACUGGAACUGAGACACGGUCCAG
Molecule: ribosomal RNA, 230 nt
Filed under: uncultured bacterium
Lineage: Bacteria
Description: partial 16S ribosomal RNA
Rfam family: Bacterial small subunit ribosomal RNA
Source: RNAcentral